CGAGGGUGCAAGCGUUAUUCGGAAUUAUUGGGCGUAAAGGGCGCGUAGGCGGCCUGGUAAGUCAGAUGUGAAAGCCCGGGGCUUAACCCCGGAAGUGCAUUUGAUACUGUCAGGCUUGAGUAUGGGAGAGGGAAGUGGAAUUCCUGGUGUAGAGGUGAAAUUCGUAGAUAUCAGGAGGAACACCGGUGGCGAAGGCGACUUCCUGGACCAAUACUGACGCUGAGGCGCGAAGGCGUGGGGAGCAAACCGGAUUAGAUACCCGAGUAGUCC
Molecule: ribosomal RNA, 270 nt
Filed under: uncultured archaeon
Lineage: Archaea
Description: partial 16S ribosomal RNA
Rfam family: Bacterial small subunit ribosomal RNA
Source: RNAcentral